UACGAAGGGUGCAAGCGUUACUCGGAAUUACUGGGCGUAAAGCGUGCGUAGGUGGUGAGUUAAGUCUGAUGUGAAAUCCCCGGGCUCAACCUGGGAAUGGCAUUGGAUACUGGCUCGCUCGAGUGCGGUAGAGGGUGGUGGAAUUCCCAGUGUAGCAGUGAAAUGCGUAGAGAUCGGGAGGAACAUCUGUGGCGAAGGCGGCCACCUGGACCAGCACUGACACUGAGGCACGAAAGCGUGGGGAGCAAACAGG
RNAcentral lists this ribosomal RNA (253 nucleotides) under uncultured bacterium. RNAcentral describes it as "partial 16S ribosomal RNA". It matches the Rfam family "Bacterial small subunit ribosomal RNA", at positions 524 to 776 of the family's 1533-position model. The record is from RNAcentral.